GGAGGAGUGGCAGAGCGGUUGAUUGCACCGGUCUUGAAAACCGGCGUACGUGAAAGCGUACCGUGGGUUCGAAUCCCACCUCCUCCGCCA
RNAcentral lists this transfer RNA (90 nucleotides) under Roseovarius sp. TE539. RNAcentral describes it as "tRNA-Ser". It matches the Rfam family "tRNA". From Rfam's summary of the family: Transfer RNA (tRNA) molecules are approximately 80 nucleotides in length. Their secondary structure includes four short double-helical elements and three loops (D, anti-codon, and T loops). The record is from RNAcentral. Lineage: Bacteria; Pseudomonadati; Pseudomonadota; Alphaproteobacteria; Rhodobacterales; Roseobacteraceae. RNAcentral also lists the same sequence under 1 other name.